Molecule: ribosomal RNA, 365 nt
Filed under: uncultured eukaryote
Lineage: Eukaryota
Description: partial 18S ribosomal RNA
Rfam family: Eukaryotic small subunit ribosomal RNA
Source: RNAcentral
CAAUAGCGUAUAUUUAAGUUGUUGCAGUUAAAAAGCUCGUAGUUGGAUUUUGGCUGAGAACGAUCGGUCCGCCGUUAGGUGUGCACUGAUUGGUCUCAGCUUCCUGGUGAGGAGGUGUGCUUCACGGCCACUUAGUCACCGUGGUUACUUUGAAAAAAUUAGAGUGUUCAAAGCGGGCUUACGCUUGAAUAUAUUAGCAUGGAAUAACACCAUAGGACUCCUGUCCUAUUUCGUUGGUCUCGGGACGGGAGUAAUGAUUAAGAGGAACAGUUGGGGGCAUUCGUAUUUCAUUGUCAGAGGUGAAAUUCUUGGAUUUAUGAAAGACGAACUUCUGCGAAAGCAUUUGCCAAGGAUGUUUUCAUUAA